AACGCACAUUGCGCCCCUUGGUAUUCCGGGGGGCAUGCCUGUUCGAGCGUCAUUUCAACCCUCAAGCUCUGCUUGGUCUUGGGCCGCGCCGGCGACGGCGGGCCUCAAAAUCAGUGGCGGCGCCAUCGGGUCCCUCAGCGUAGUACUUCUUCUCGCUGUUGGGUCCCGGUGGCCGCCGGCCAGCAACCCCCAAUUUUCUAUGGUUGACCUCGGAUCAGGUAGGGAUACCCGCUGAACUUAA
This 241-nucleotide unclassified non-coding RNA is filed under the name uncultured fungus. RNAcentral's name for it is "sequence contains ITS2". The record is from RNAcentral. Lineage: Eukaryota; Fungi.